Molecule: transfer RNA, 116 nt
Filed under: Allopusillimonas ginsengisoli
Lineage: Bacteria; Pseudomonadati; Pseudomonadota; Betaproteobacteria; Burkholderiales; Alcaligenaceae
Also listed under: 1 other name
Description: tRNA-OTHER
Source: RNAcentral
GGACAUACUGGACAGCCAAGACCCGCAUAAACAGGGCUUCCGCGUAUUCCGUACCGGACUCGAAAUCCGGUUUACGUCUAGGCGUAACGUGAGUUCGAAUCUCACCCUGUCCGCCA